Taeniopygia guttata (zebra finch) is the source of this 270-nucleotide non-coding RNA. The record is from RefSeq and is a predicted model, not a curated record. Lineage: Eukaryota; Metazoa; Chordata; Aves; Passeriformes; Estrildidae.
AUUCCAAACUUUUCCCUUUCCUGGGUGGUUUUCAGUGGGAAAAGCUUCUCCUGGUCCAUGAUUCCCACAGGGAAUGACUGGGUAAUCCCAGGAUGGGGAAGGUUUCAUGGAGCAGCUGGAAAAAAAGAGCUGCAGUGUUUGGGAAAAGGCUCCUGGAGGUGGGGAUAACCUGGGAUAAAUCUGGGAAAAGCCUUGGGAGGCUGGGAAUGGCCAGGAUAAAUCUGGGAAAAGCUCUGCCCCCUUCACUCCUCCCCUUUUCCUUCUUUUCCA